Molecule: long non-coding RNA, 5429 nt
Organism: Mustela lutreola (European mink)
Lineage: Eukaryota; Metazoa; Chordata; Mammalia; Carnivora; Mustelidae
Exons: 4
Source: RefSeq, a predicted model, not a curated record
UUUCUGUCGCUCGCUGGCGGCUGGUUUCACGUCUAUAGAGGAAGGAUAUUAUGGAAGAGUUCAGAGCUUUUCUUUUGGGGUGUCCCUCAUCAGCCCCCCUACUGCUGUCGCAAACCUGCCACAAAAUGCAGCUUAUCGCUGGGGGAGGAGAAGAAGAGACACAAAAGGAGACACACUCAGCUUUGAGCUUCAAAGUAACUUUCUGAGGUUUUCUUACGUCCUCAGUGUUCUUGGAAGUCAGGCACCCAGUGUACAUGGUGUUUCUGGAAUUCCCAGACCUGGGUGUUCUCCCAUGAAGAGCUACACGCGGAGAACCGGCCUCGGCCCCAAUCCAAGGGAAGGAAAAAACCCCUGGAGGGGAGAGCGGGUGAAGCCAGUGGCCGGGUGCGGUGGCGCCGUGGGAAGCGGAGGCCGGAGUAGCCAUCGGGGCCAGCCCGGGAAACACGCUCCCCCAGCACUUUGACGGAGGUCACGGAAUGCAGGGAGCUGGCCGUGCGGGCCACAGAACGCUGAGAAGCCACGGGGCUGUGCCGCGACCUGAGUUCAGUGAGCACAAGAGGCCACCAGACCCACAGGGGAGGAGGGGGCAGCCGGCUUCUCCUCCAGUGCCCCCCUUGGCCUCCAUCGGCAGACCAGGCAUCUGGGAAACACAGCCGCUGGGGAUCCAGAGGAGGGGAAGACCCAGAUGCCCCAGCCCAGGGCCGGUUCCACAUGGGCCUGGAUGCUAGAGGAGAAAGGGCGCGAGUGGGGUCCCGGGAAGGAGCUGCCCCAAGAGCCCGGCUUCCUACGGCUUGUGCAUGGCGUGUUGGGCUUCAGGAGUCCCGUGGACCCCAGAGGAGAAAGGGGGAUAUGGCCAAGCAGGCAGGCUGGUUCACUCCUGGGGCACGGGGGUAGAGGGGUCACCAGUGCAAGGAGCAAAGUGACCCCGAUUGAGGACCCAGAACAGCCAAGCUAGGGAGCGACCAACGCAGUAUCUGAGUUCAGGGUUCCGCGGCUCAAAUCAUGGAACACGAGUGACCGAACACCAGGGUAGGCCUUAGGCCGCCGCAGUCCUGCCUCGGGAGCCUGAGAGCCGUUUGAAGAGGUUUGCGGAAAUGUGAGAGUAGAAAGUACUUCUGAAAGCUGAUCUGAUCUUCAUCACGUGCCAAUGCUAAAAUUUAAAAAAAUGCUAAAAUUUUAAAAAUGCUAAAAUUAAAAAAAAACAAAAACAAAAACAAGAGCAAGGAAUAACUGACUCAGGUUUGCACAUCUGAACGCCCGUCCACAGGUUUCGACACCGGACUGCCGGGGUUGAGAAACGGACGCUCAAUGCCACCGCCUUCGCUGCCCUGACUUACAUGUUAUCCUGCGUGUCUUUGGCACCUGUGCGUUUUUCUGCAAACUCGUCCUCAUUCUGGACUGUAAGUCCUUUUGGGCAUGAGGCAUCUCUUCGUACCAGGAGUGACGUCGGAGCCCUGUCCCCGCUCGGAGAAGCACGGGGCACAAGGCACAAGGACACACGAGCUGCGGAAGUAAGCCAGUCCCCACGUUUCGGUGACUUAACACACCCGGAGUUUGUUUUUGGCUCAGCGGAGCAAAGCAGGUGUUAGGUGGGUGAUGUUUCCACCGGGGACUUAGGGACCAGGCUCUUCCUGUCUUUGGCUUGGGCCACCCACCAGCAGUCUCGGCUUCAGGCUCCCGGGGCUGCGCAGAACAAGGAGGAGCAGGUGUGGCCUGCUCGGGCCCAGGUCGGGCCCAGGUCGGGCCCAGGACGGCGCCUGCCUGCAAGGGCUGCUGGGAAAUGUAGUCCAGCGGGCCCAGGCAGACGAGGACAUGAACAGCAGGCCGGUGGCCCCACACUCAGCCAGAGGCCCCCUGAGAGUGCCCGGACAAGGCCAUAAGCGUCUCCUCCCGUCCCGGCAGAUGGAGCUGGUUGGAAGCCCACCGGUUAGACCUUCGCUGCCGAGGCCCGUGGGCGCCACGCCUCUCUCGCUCCGGCUCUCCCUGCGCCACGCCGCCCAGACGUGCCCCUGGACCGUCCUCCGCGCACUGAGCGCGCGUCGGCCGCGUGGCUCGCGCUGGUCCUCCAGCCCCGCCCCCGACGGCUUUCCGUGUGUCCAGAGCCGCCAGACCCAGGAGGGAACUGCGGCGCACGGGAGCGAGGGCGCAGACCUUCUGCGCGCGCCUGUGCAGCGGGAGGCUGUCCCCGGAGCUCCGGCCAACGGCCCCCCGCGGAGGGAGGCCCCAGGAAGGACGCCACGUUCUGGGCACGCAGCCUGCUCUGUCCUCCCGCCCCGCGGACCCUCGCACCGGCCGCCGGCGCACCUCUCCGAGCAGGAGCGGGGCCCUGGGAGCGGCCGCCUCGUGCAGAUUCCCUACCCUUGGGUGGCCCACUUGUGCAGGACCCUGGCCACCAAGGUGACGUAUGUGAGCCCGUGGGCAGCAGAAGUUGGUCCUCCUGGAGUCCUGUGAGCUGCUUCUGGAGGAGCAGGUGGACAGCAGAAUGCUUCGACUGACCUACAGGUCAAAGGUUUUGAAGAGAGCCCGAAUUAGGUCUCCUGAGAGACAGAGCCCAGAAAGAGGGGAAAAGGAAUUCCGAAGAAGUAAAACGUAGAGAGAAACCUUAAAAAUUAAAACACUGUAUCUGUGAAACCAAAAGGAACAUUCUGACUUCCUAGUUACUGAAAAAUAAAAUGAGAGAAUUAAAUUUAAAAACAAAGAAACAAACAAAAAACAGGACUGGAUGAGAGAUGUGGAACUCUCCCAAAAGGAGAAUUAAGUGAUGAAGACAGAGACCUCAGGCGACAACAUAAAAUCCAACUAGCCGGCCUGGCGUCCCAGCAGCAGGAGGACUUCCUGCCGCAGUCUCGCUUCCCUCCUGGCUGCCUGCUCUGUCCUCACCCUGUUUCCUUCUAAGAGAUGAUUUUUCUACUUAAGCCAACGCUCCAUCGGGGUCUAUCUUUUGAAACCAAGACCCCUAAGACAGCAGGAAGCUGGCCUGGAAGAGGGGUGGGGGGUCAGCGGUGACAGGGAACCCCCUAGUCUCGGCCACUAGCCAGACUCCCCAGGGCAGAGCGGAGGCCACUCUCUGUCCGCUCUUCUGCCCGGCCGCCACUGCAGGGCUCCUCGGGAGCCGCUUCUCCCCCAGCACUUACCGACAGCCCCCUGCCCGCCCUUCCACCGCCACCCACCGGCCAGCGUUCCCAAGUGCCUGCCGGCUCGGACCCCUUCCAGCUUGGAGCCCCUUCUGGAUGUCUGAGGGACACAUGUGGCCGUGACCCCACGCAGCUGACACUAAUGCAGGCGACUUUCCAAAUACGGUAUUUACGCAGAGUAACUACGUUCACGGGCUAUGUACGCAACAGCCAACAACUUUAAAUACCUAAUGGUAUUCUGAACUGUUUGCAGAUAAGCUUAUGCUGACCAUGUUUUAAAAUAAAACUGGCUUUGGAAGACACAAGACUACCCAUCUCAGACAUCAGGUUUCCAGAAGAAUCUCUACAAUGAGAUCAAAUCCCCAAUUACUUUUAUGCAUUUUAAAAAGUAACCAACACAGCAACCCCUUCAAAAAGCGGCCUGGCACUUUCUCCAAGUUCAACACCCACCCUGCGAGUCAACAACUCCACCUGGAGGUACUUAAACAGAAGUGAAUGUGAACCCAAAACGCACACACAACUGUCCGCAGCUUUAUCCGUAGUACUCCCCAGACCACAAACAACCCUAACAUCCACCACCAAGGAGGCACCGAGAAACUAUGGCAUAGUCAUACCAGGGCACACUGCUCCGUGGCACAGAGGAAGGAGAUUAAUGAGAUCUGCAACCACACGAUGAAUCUCAAAGAUGUCAUGUCACGCGCACGGCACCUGAAGCCAGGCAGCAGCAAUUUAUUUUUAAGGAAAUCAGAACAGGGGUUUGAACAUAGCAGGAUGACUGAGAAGAGCCCAGGGUAACUUUCUGGGGUGAUGGAAAUGCCCCAUAUCCUGACCUCACUGGUGCCACCGGCAUGUGCGUCUCUCAAAACAAAAGUCAAUGAGCUAUUAAAAAAAAAAUCAACAGUACACUUACGAUUGUACAUUUCAUUGUACGAUUAAAAAAAAAAAUGCACAGGAGAAAAAUCAGCAGCACGGGACCAGGUGCUGGGUGGGAAAGGUGAAGCGGAGGCCAACCUCCAGCCAGAAGCUUCCUCCAGAAACUUCACGCAGGGCCCAGGAGGUCUCUGACCAACUUCUGUCUGAAUCUUCAGGCGGGGUUCUUGGCCUCUUUCCUCACCUUUUCCUUGGCUGUGAACAGACAAUGUACUCUCAAAUACAAACUAAAAACGAACGAAAAGACGUCAGUAUUCUUUGGUGGCCAAUAACUACAAAGAAGAUCAAGACGGGCGCCUGGCUGGCUCAGUCGGUAGAGCGUGCAACUCGUGGUCUCAGGGAUGUGAGUUCAAGCCCCAGGCUAGGUGUAGAGAUGACUUAAAAAUAAAACCUUAAAAAAAAGAAUCAGGUACUUUCAUUAUUGCAAUAAAAAGAAUGUCUACCCUAGAGCCUGAUAUUCAUGUUUAUGUUAAGGUGCUGUUUAAACUCAUUAUGGCUUUACUAUCCACACACCCACUGAUGACCUAUAAAAAGCAGGAAUCAGCAGCUCUGCUUCAGGCAUAGCAGCAGCACACGAAGCCAACGCGAGCCAUGAGAGAGCUGCUUAAUUCAGACACGGAGAGGGGGAGCGCCAAGCACGGUGUUCUCUGGCCCGGGCCCCAGGAUGCGCAGCCCCAGAUGGGAGCUGUAGCCCGCAGGAGCUCACACAGACCCGCAGAGGUGGGAAUCAGGCUCUCUAAACGACCUUCUAGACUCUCGGGCCCACUGUCACUGCUGAAGACACAUCUGUCCCGGAAGCUCCCAAACCGAGCAGGCACCCCAGGUAAAUCCCGCCGCUGCUCAACAACCACCCCACCCACGGGCCCUUACGACCUUCGUGGCUGCAUGGAGGCACCUCCAACUAGUUGUCAAGGUCAAAACACAGGAGUCAACCUUCAAUGGGCUUUCCCCGAACCCCCCACCAAACCCUUAAGCAAGUCCUGAGGGCACAAUCUCCAAAACCAACCACAGUGGGGCCUCCUCCCCCUCCCACCCGCCAAACCAAGGCCCAGGAGCCUGACCCCGGGCAGUCCGCAGGGCGCCUCCUACACGUGCUCCUUUUCUGCUCUCCCUGCGGCCCUCGCCCCACGAUCCACCCCCAUUCAGCCCCGAGUAAGUUCCCACAGAUAGAAAUCAUACUGCGUUCCUCCAUUUCUUAAAACCACCCAGUGAGUGCCUCUGCCUCUGCAGGCCUCCCUGCAGUGAACCCCCCCCCCAACCCCAAGGCAUGCUGACCUCACUUCUCACCCUCCCCACCUGGCUGGCCGUCUGGCGCCUCUGUCAUCACCAUCACACCACGUUCCCAGCUAUGUCCCGGCCCACACC